ACCCAGACUCCUACGGGAGGCAGCAGUGGGGAAUAUUGCACAAUGGGGGAAACCCUGAUGCAGCGACGCCGCGUGAGUGAAGAAGUACUUCGUUAUGUAAAGCUCUAUCAGCAGGGAAGAAAAUGACGGUACCUGAGUAAGAAGCCCCGGCUAACUACGUGCCAGCAGCCGCGGUAAUACGUAGGGGGCAAGCGUUAUCCGGAUUUACUGGGUGUAAAGGGAGCGUAGACGGCAUGGCAAGUCAGAUGUGAAAGCCCGGGGCUCAACCCCGGAACUGCAUUUGAAACUGUCAGGCUGGAGUGCAGGAGAGGUAAGUGGAAUUCCUAGUGUAGCGGUGAAAUGCGUAGAUAUUAGGAAGAACACCAGUGGCGAAGGCGGAUUACUGGACGAUAACUGACGGUGAGGCGCGAAAGCGUGGGGAGCAAACAGGAUUAGAUACCCUAGUAU
RNAcentral lists this ribosomal RNA (447 nucleotides) under uncultured bacterium. Its description in RNAcentral is "bacterial SSU rRNA". It matches the Rfam family "Bacterial small subunit ribosomal RNA", at positions 329 to 793 of the family's 1533-position model. The record is from RNAcentral.